RNAcentral lists this non-coding RNA (28 nucleotides) under Mus musculus (house mouse). The record is from RNAcentral. Lineage: Eukaryota; Metazoa; Chordata; Mammalia; Rodentia; Muridae.
UGGUACAUGGAAUGCUGCUUAACCUUUG